Molecule: long non-coding RNA, 1037 nt
Filed under: Salmo salar (Atlantic salmon)
Lineage: Eukaryota; Metazoa; Chordata; Actinopteri; Salmoniformes; Salmonidae
Description: lncRNA (ENSSSAG00000082000.1)
Source: RNAcentral
CUCUAUAGUAGUGAAUCUGUUAGUAGAGCUGUUCAUUAGUCUGGUCCUGGUUAUAGACUCUAUAGUAGUGAACCUGUUAGUAUAGCUGUUCAUUACUCUGGUCCUGGUUAUAGUCUCUAUAGUAGUGAAUCUGUUAGUAGAGCUGUUCAUUAGUCUGGUCCUGGUUCUAGUCUCUAUAGUAGUGAAUCUGUUAGUAGAGCUGUUCAUUAGUCUGGUCCUGGUUAUAGACUCUAUAGUAGUGAAUCUGUUAGUAGAGCUGUUCAUUAGUCUGGUCCUGGUUGUAGUCUCUAUAGUAGUGAAUCUGUUAGCUGUUCGUUAGUCUGGUCCUGGUUCUAGUCUCUGUAGUAAUGAUCCUGUUAGUAGAGCUGUUCAUUAGUCUGGUCCUGGUUAUAGACUCUAUAGUAGUGAAUCUGUUAGUAGAGCUGUUCAUUAGUCUGGUCCUGGUUGUAGUCUCUAUAGUACUGAAUCUGUUAGUAGAGCUGUUAAUUAGUCUGGUCCUGGUUGUAGUAUCUAUAAUAGUAGUUGCAGUGAAUCUGUUUAGAUAAAUGCAUGUCUGAAUCCAGCAUGCCAUCUACAACACAAACCAUAUACUGUAGGAAGGAAGGAAAAAGCAAACAAACAAAUGUUUGAACAAGUGAAUGAAUUGCUACUCACAUUCACAUUGAGCCUCUGAGGUCCCAGGUUGUUGUCGGUCUGUUUUGAAGACGGCGGUGCAGUUCUGUGCGAGGCCGAGGCAGAGAGUAAAGAAGGUGUAGCUACAGUCUGCUGAGCAGCAGGUGAAGCAGCCAUCCAGACACACCUGGCAGGUCAGGCUUCACACAUACACAGAUAGAGAGAGAAAUAGUCACUAACUUUAGUGAGGAAAAAAUAAUACUUAUGAUGAGACAAAUAAAAGAUCCCUUCUGUUUCUGCCCAAAGUUAUUCAACUGCAGCUCAGUCCCCAAUGUGCACUGAGCUGCAGUUCCAAGACACUUGGUCAGAUGACUUUCUCAACCACAUCCGACUUCCUCCUCUUCUGCUGGCUGGACUAUGCCUUC